GACAGAGGAUGCAACCGUUGCUCGGAAUUACUGGGCGUAAAGCGCGUGUAGGCGGUCUGGUAAGUCGGACGUGAAAUCCCGGGGCUCAACCCCGGAAGUGCGCUCGAUACUGCCGGACUUGGGUUCUGAAGAGGAGAGCGGAAUUCCCGGUGUGGAGGUGAAAUUCGUAGAUAUCGGGAGGAACACCUGUGGCGAAGGCGGCCAUCUGGACGAUAACUGACGCUGAGACGCGAAAGCGUGGGUAGCAAACAGG
This 253-nucleotide ribosomal RNA is filed under the name uncultured bacterium. Its description in RNAcentral is "partial 16S ribosomal RNA". It matches the Rfam family "Bacterial small subunit ribosomal RNA", at positions 524 to 776 of the family's 1533-position model. The record is from RNAcentral.